GUGGGGAAUAUUGCACAAUGGGCGAAAGCCUGAUGCAGCGACGCCGCGUGAGGGACGAAGGCCUUCGGGUUGUAAACCUCUUUCAGCAGGGAAGAAGCGAAAGUGACGGUACCUGCAGAAGAAGCACCGGCUAACUACGUGCCAGCAGCCGCGGUAAUACGUAGGGUGCAAGCGUUGUCCGGAAUUAUUGGGCGUAAAGAGCUCGUAGGCGGUUUGUCGCGUCUGCUGUGAAAACUCAGGGCUUAACCCUGAGCCUGCAGUGGGUACGGGCAGACUAGAGUGUGGUAGGGGAGAUCGGAAUUCCUGGUGUAGCGGUGGAAUGCGCAGAUAUCAGGAGGAACACCGGUGGCGAAGGCGGAUCUCUGGGCCAUAACUGACGCUGAGGAGCGAAAGCAUGGGGAGCGAACAGGAUUAGAUACCCGAGUAGUCC
RNAcentral lists this ribosomal RNA (430 nucleotides) under uncultured bacterium. RNAcentral's name for it is "bacterial SSU rRNA". It matches the Rfam family "Bacterial small subunit ribosomal RNA", at positions 354 to 796 of the family's 1533-position model. The record is from RNAcentral.